AGAAGAUGCAAGAACAAGAAGUCAAAUUUAAAACAAGGAAGACCAACUACUGACUUCCACUCGAAACGGCGGAGGAACUCCCAAGUCCUGAAGCGAAACAAAACAGAGAGAAAAUAAAAGUUAUUUACUGAGAACAGGAGAGCAAUCCAGACAGCCAAAACUUGCACAGUUCACCAGUGAAUACCACAAGUAUGCCACCUGUUCAAUUCUGCUCUGUUAGUUUUUUAUACCACUUUGAGAGCUAUGAAAGACAACAGCAAAAACACACCAUCGCAGAGCAGCUGAACAUGGAUGAAACACGAGAUGGAGCUAUUGAGCUAUGAGUAUCUGGAGAACUCUGGGACAGCGCUCAGAAUGAAAGAUCUUGCUAUAUUGAAAAUGUCAAUAUCAGCAUAUGUUGAUAUCAGCACAUGUUCUUCAUUCUUAUAAAGAAAAUUGGAUAAUUAUCUGAAGAGAAAAUAUUUGCAUAGUGACGGAAAAGGCAGGUAAGGUGAACUAGAUGAGUUGAUCUUACAGAGACUCAGCUUGGUCAUAACAGGCCACAUGGCCUCCUUCUGUGCUGUAGCCAUUCUAUGAUUCUAUGCUCAAACAUUUUUGCAUUUCUCAAACUACUUGAUCCAUCAGGUGACUUGAUUGUCUUAUUUCAGGAAGCUGAUGAUACUUUCUGAUAAAGCAUUGUGUUUGAGGGCUACUCAAUGUGAGGAGGGAACCCUCUACGCCUCCUUCUCAGAGAGAAAAUUAAUGCUUUAUGCAGUUCUUCCAUCUGCCCACAUCUAAUGACUCUACUAUGUACAGGAUCUUGAGCAUUGACAACCCACAGAUUCCUCAUUCAAGGGGUUAUUUUUCAAGAGUGAGGCAACACAGUUAAUGUUGGCAAGUCAUAGGGGAUGUCACAGCUGAGCCUGAUUCUGUCACCACCCAAUAUUGGCUUGUGCAUUUUCCAGCACUGGAUGGUGAUCAGGAGUAGGAAUUCCAGUUGUUUUCAAUUUCUUAACCCAGGGGCAUGAAAACCAAUUGUAAUGCCCCCCC
This is a long non-coding RNA of Carcharodon carcharias (great white shark), 1029 nucleotides long. RefSeq lists it as uncharacterized. The record is from RefSeq and is a predicted model, not a curated record. The transcript has 3 exons. NCBI's taxonomy places the organism in Eukaryota, Metazoa, Chordata, Chondrichthyes, Lamniformes, Lamnidae.